CAGAGGAAGGUUGUUUGGGGAGCUCAGCCCAGCACAUGGUGGGGAUGGUGAGGCUAUCUUUACCUAGGGGGCAGAGGAAUGGGACAACGGGGGGGUGGGAGCACAGCCAGCCAUAGAGAGCAAAGGGACAUGGAGGAUUUUGCAUAGAAUGUUUUCAGUACCAUUUCAAUUUGACCUGGCCCCAUUGGCUGCUGCCUGAUCCCCAGGGCCCGAAGGCCCCAGGGGUUGCUGUCUGAUCGCUUGGCUCAAGAGAACGAGUGCCUUCAUUAAAAACAACGCUGGUCAGCUGCCUCAGCCCAGAGGAGAGGAACAAAAAGCAGCAGAGAAGGUGAAGAGGGAAGGAUGAGGCCCAGCUGCUCAGCACUGCCGUGCAGAGCCAGCGCAUUGACGCUACCCAUAAUGCACUUGCAUCAGCUACUCUCCCAGCACCACCAAUCCCUGCACCCUGUAGAAUGGUGGCAGCUGCUACGACCAGCAGCACUCCUCCUAGUGGGAAGGGCGGAGCCUCCUCACCAUUGGCAGCAGCUGGCCCCCCAUGCAGCCGGAUCAAAACUAGCAUCUAAGGAGCCAGAAGAUGUAUGACUAAUGUGUGUGUAGGGGGAGGCCUCGGCAGACAGGGACAAUACUGUAGUAACCAGGGAGAGGGGAGGGCUUGGAGGUCUUUUCUUCCAUCAAAGCUUGGAGCUUUCUUCCAGCCAAGGAGAUUGAGAGAAAGAAUGCAAGACAAUAAACUUUCUCCCUGGGUUGUAAACUUUGCCCUCCAAUGCAGGCUAAAGAGACUGGGCUGCUUUUUACAAAGCGCAGUGUGUACUCAGUGAGAAAGGGAGAGGGAGAGAAAGGAAGGUCAAGGCCCCUUCAGAGUCUGGCCUGCCCAGGCUUGCCUGGGAGAGCAUGAUUUUCAAACACUGCAGCUUGCAGCCUGGCCUCUUUCUCUCCCAUAGAUCCCAUUGCUUCAAUCUGUUCCCGGGGAUGUGGUGCGUUUGCCCCCCACUCACACACAAAUGCUACAGUGAAUUGCAAAACUAACUAGCCAAAUGGGAAAGUGGGGGAGUGAUUUGUUUAUUUAGCCAGGCAGGCUCCCAGUGAAGCUUGGGACAUCUCUGUAAGGGCUAAAAGGCUGUUUGCCAGUUUGACAAGCUGCUGCCCAUGCCAAUACACUUGCAAAGAAAACUGCAACACAUGUCCUGAUGGCAGCAACACCAUCUAGCAUAUCCUAUAGGUGCUGCCCAGAACAGGGCCAGACCUGGACUCCCCCCCUCCAGCCUUCUCUGCCCAGAGUCCUGCUGAAAUCAAUGGUGUUACACCAUGUUGGCUCAAUGACUCUUCUACUGUUCUAUCUCUCUCUUCUUAAACUGUUACAGCCUCCUGGUAUCUGGUCAUCUGCCUUUUCACCUCCUCACUCUCUCCUUAUGUCUCUCCUUUACUAUCUUUCUUGUGUUUCUCUUCUCUUCUCUUCCCCUUCCUU
Molecule: long non-coding RNA, 1465 nt
Organism: Chelonia mydas (Green sea turtle)
Lineage: Eukaryota; Metazoa; Chordata; Testudines; Cheloniidae
Exons: 4
Source: RefSeq, a predicted model, not a curated record